UGGGGAAUAUUGGACAAUGGGGGCAACCCUGAUCCAGCAAUGCCGCGUGUGUGACGAAGGCCUUAGGGUUGUAAAGCACUUUCAGUCGUGACGAUGAUGACGGUAGCGACAGAAGAAGCCCCGGCUAACUCCGUGCCAGCAGCCGCGGUAAUACGGAGGGGGCGAGCGUUGUUCGGAAUUACUGGGCGUAAAGGGCGUGUAGGCGGCGCGAUCAGUCAGGCGUGAAAGCCCGGGGCUCAACCCCGGAACGUCGCUUGAUACUGUUGUGCUCGAGAGCGGGAGAGGGCAGUGGAAUUCCCAGUGUAGAGGUGAAAUUCGUAGAUAUUGGGAAGAACACCAGUGGCGAAGGCGGCUGCCUGGCCCGCAUCUGACGCUGAGGCGCGAAAGCGUGGGGAGCGAACAGG
Molecule: ribosomal RNA, 404 nt
Filed under: uncultured Chloroflexota bacterium
Lineage: Bacteria; Bacillati; Chloroflexota
Also listed under: 1 other name
Description: bacterial SSU rRNA
Rfam family: Bacterial small subunit ribosomal RNA
Source: RNAcentral